AAAGGAAUUGACGGGGGCCCGCACAAGCGGUGGAGCAUGUGGUUUAAUUCGAGGCAACGCGAAGAACCUUACCAAGGCUUGACAUGGAGACGACCGGCGCGGAAACGUGCUUUCUCUUCGGAGCGUCUCACACAGGUGGUGCAUGGUUGUCGUCAGCUCGUGUCGUGAGAUGUUGGGUUAAGUCCCGCAACGAGCGCAACCCUUGCGUCCAGUUGCCAGCAUGUAAAGAUGGGCACACUGGAGGGACUGCCGUGGACAACACGGAGGAAGGUGGGGACGACGUCAAAUCAUCAUGCCCCUUAUGUCUUGGGCUACACACGUGCUACAAUGGGCACUACAGCGUGAAGCAAGGCAGCGAUGCGGAGCGAAACACGAAAAGUGCCCUCAGUUCGGAUUGCAGGCUGCAACCCGCCUGCAUGAAGUUGGAAUCGCUAGUAAUCGCGAAUCAGCACGUCGCGGUGAAUACGUUCCCGGGCCUUGUACACACCGCCCGU
RNAcentral lists this ribosomal RNA (494 nucleotides) under uncultured bacterium. RNAcentral's name for it is "bacterial SSU rRNA". It matches the Rfam family "Bacterial small subunit ribosomal RNA", at positions 903 to 1397 of the family's 1533-position model. The record is from RNAcentral.